UACGUAGGUGGCAAGCGUUGUCCGGAUUUACUGGGCGUAAAGCGCACGCAGGCGGUCUGUCAAGUCGGAUGUGAAAUCCCCGGGCUCAACCUGGGAACUGCAUUCGAAACUGGCAGGCUAGAGUCUUGUAGAGGGGGGUAGAAUUCCAGGUGUAGCGGUGAAAUGCGUAGAGAUCUGGAGGAAUACCGGUGGCGAAGGCGGCCCCCUGGACAAAGACUGACGCUCAGGUGCGAAAGCGUGGGGAGCAAACAGGAUUAGAUACCCUGGUAGUCCACGCUGUAAACGAUGUCGAUUUGGAGGUUGUGCCCUUGAGGCGUGGCUUCCGGAGCUAACGCGUUAAAUCGACCGCCUGGGGAGUACGGCCGCAAGGUUAAA
This 375-nucleotide ribosomal RNA is filed under the name uncultured bacterium. RNAcentral describes it as "bacterial SSU rRNA". It matches the Rfam family "Bacterial small subunit ribosomal RNA", at positions 524 to 898 of the family's 1533-position model. The record is from RNAcentral.